ACCAUUUUUCCACCAUUCUCCCUCGUUUUCUCCGGCACACCGUCUCCCUCUCAUCCCUCUUUUUUCUCCCCUUUUUCUCCCUGUUUUCUUCUUCAACGGAGGAAGCUGUGCAUUUUGCACCUAAUUUGGAUCAAAGACCAACAAGUCUUUCUUCUUGUUCCUCUAACUAGAGAUAGCUCUCUUUUUCACAAAAAUCCCAAAUCAAGGUAAUAGAUUUCUGGGUUUCUAGAGAAGAGCAUUGUGGAUUUCUGGAGGUCUUUCGUUUUUUGCCUACAAAUUUCUGGAGAAGUGCACAGCAACCCAAGGGGGUUGGGUUCGCGGGACGGAAUGGGCAGAGCCAUUUCAGAUUUGGUGACUAGAGAAGAGGGCGGAAGGCAUGAUUUGGUAACUGGGUUCGCGGGAAGAAGGAGAUCCGGGAUCUAA
RNAcentral lists this small RNA (423 nucleotides) under Malus domestica (apple). RNAcentral describes it as "sRNA MD16G0032700". The record is from RNAcentral. Lineage: Eukaryota; Viridiplantae; Streptophyta; Magnoliopsida; Rosales; Rosaceae.